GACGAACGCUGGCGGCGUGCUUAACACAUGCAAGUCGAACGCUGAAGCUCAGCUUGCUGGGUGGAUGAGUGGCGAACGGGUGAGUAACACGUGAGUAACCUGCCCUCUUCUUUGGGAUAACGCCCGGAAACGGGUGCUAAUACUGGAUAUUCACUGAUUCUCGCAUGGGGGUUGGUGGAAAGGUUUUUUCUGGUGGGGGAUGGGCUCGCGGCCUAUCAGCUUGUUGGUGGGGUGAUGGCCUACCAAGGCUUUGACGGGUAGCCGGCCGUAGAGGGUGACCGGUCACAUUGGGACUGAGAUACGGCCCAGACUCCUACGGGAGGCAGCAGUGGGGAAUAUUGCACAAUGGGCGAAAGCCUGAUGCAGCGACGCCGCGUGAGGGAUGGAGGCCUUCGGGUUGUAAACCUCUUUCGCUCAUGGUCAAGCCGCAGCUUUGGGUUGUGGUGAGGGUAGUGGGUAAAGAAGCGCCGGCUAACUACGUG
RNAcentral lists this ribosomal RNA (482 nucleotides) under uncultured bacterium. RNAcentral's name for it is "partial 16S ribosomal RNA". It matches the Rfam family "Bacterial small subunit ribosomal RNA", at positions 28 to 507 of the family's 1533-position model. The record is from RNAcentral.